Oryzias latipes (Japanese medaka) is the source of this 1986-nucleotide non-coding RNA. Lineage: Eukaryota; Metazoa; Chordata; Actinopteri; Beloniformes; Adrianichthyidae. The record is from RefSeq and is a predicted model, not a curated record.
GCCAUCACCUGCAGCACACAACCACAGGAGAACCGCCUUUUAACGGAUGUAAGUCAGGGGUCUGCAACCUGAGGCUCUGGAGCCUCGUGAGGCUCUUUUACCUCUCCAUUGUGGCUCUCUGCUUGAAGAAAAGUCACGGACUAUGAGGUGGAUCAAGCAUAACAGUCUGAUAAGUUCAACUUUAUUUCAGUCAUUCACUCGGUGUAAAGAUUUUACCCAAACCUGAGUUUGCUGCCUUUGCCAGCAGAUCAGGGUGGCAGCAGUGCUGCCGGAGCCUCAUCAGAAUGACGAGCACAUCGGCGUAAUUCCUCAAGACGGUCCCUUCAGACACAUAUCUGGAGAACUCACCUGACAGAAUCCAUCGUCUCUGGGCCUUCAGCUCCAGCACGGCCUUACUCAUCUGGGCAUUGGGGUUUCUUAUAAAGUGUCCUUCAUCCAGCACCACCCUCAGCCAGUCGAUCCCGUGUAAGGGGCUCUUAUUCUGAAAGCACAAGCUCGUGAAACGACGUAUUUGUGGGCUCAUCCCCGUAAAGCGGUUUCACUCACCCCAAAGUCAGCAGACAGGACGUUGUAGGUGGUGAUCACCACGUCCUGAGAAGACAGGAACUUCUUGCUCCUGUUGCGAUCGGAUCCGUAAUACAGAUACACGCCGAGCUUCACGUCAGGGUGAAUGUGCUGCUCAAACUGGUCCUGCACAAGAAGAAAGUCAGGAAAAUAACAGGGAGGAAAGCUGAAAAGCCGCUUUGACUGACAUUCUUUUUUGAUGAAUUGUUUUUUUAUGUACCAGCCAGUUGCUGAGCACCGAUAGAGGACAGACGAUAAGAGUGGCUCUUGCCGACGAGUCAUCCGAGUCUGAGGUACAGGAAGACUCCACACCUGCAGACAGCAAGAGGAAUUUCACGCAGUCUGAGCUUCGCUUUCACUGAAAAGCAAACCAGCAACAACUUACUGUCUUUGAGGGUGGACUUCUGAGAGGUUUUCUUCUUCUUUGGGCCUGUGUCUGAUGAACCACUUAGAGCUGCAGCAAAGUCCAGGUCCUCCAGCAACACCGGAGCCUCUGUGCAACAGACAGAAGAUGAGAGAAUCAGUCAAUUCGGAUCCUAAAAAAGUGCUCGUCAGCUAUGAUAUAUGUAUUAUUUUCUGACAUUUCUGUCACUGAAACGUUUAAAGUCCCACUCCGAUCAUCUGUAGUUCUGUUUUUAAAGUGUUCACCAUAAAUAUCAUUAUGCCGAUUUGAGCCAAUUUCGAAAAACCUUUGCCGUUUUAGGACAUAGUUUCUGCAGAGCGGCAGGAGCUGUUGUGGGUGCGGGUGGGACUGAAUGUUGCACUAAAAAUACAAUUUUCAUCACAAAAAGCUUUAUCAAGCUUUUAUUUUGACAUGUAAGCUCACAACUUGAGUGGAGACGCACCUUUACCGGGUUUUCGCUUUGUGGGUUUCAACUUGCCUUUCUUUAACUCUGUAGUUUGAAAAACAAAAUUAAAGGUAUAAGGUCAAACUAAAGUACAAAAAAAAACACCCGAAUAACUUGAAAUAGAUGUGAAAGCUCGUACUUUUCUGCUUCUCUUCCUUCACCUCCACCACCUCAGACGUGUCGAAUGUUUCCUCCAGGUUUACUCUGAUUCACAGAUUAUGUUUGACAGGAUUUGUUUUUUCUAAGCUAAAACAAACAUCACAAGUUUUUGGUGUCAGGAGUAAAAGAUGCUUACAUUUCUGAGCCGGGAUCAGUUCCUUUUGAACUGCUUGCUCCUGCUGCUUUAUCUACAUGAGAUAAACGCCACGUCAUGCUUCCUCGAAACUUUUUGAAAUGACAUGAAAGGCGGGACGAUUACCUUCCCGUCUGGAGGCCUCUGCCGUUUUAGUUUUAACCUUGAAAGGUGAGGGCCGUUCUUGCUGUGCACACAAAAAUAAUAAUAAAAACUGUUGCAUUAAUGUAAUGCUGUGAGAAUAUAAGAAUUAAAAAAAAUGCUUACACAUUUCUGCACAGG